CAGACAUGAACAAGAAACUCAUUUAAAGUUGGAUUAUAGUGAAUAUGGUGACUACAUAUUAUUUUUGAAAUGGGAUUCCUCAGGCAAAGAAGAAACAAAUAGACUUCUUGGAGGAGCCAAUGAAGGAACCCAGAUUUGAAGAGACAGAAGAUGUGGAAGUAUCGCCUUUUGGAUCUACUGGUGUUGCACCUGGAUUUCCAUCUCCAUCAGCAAGUGCAUGAAUAAGAGCCAGUGGAUGACUUUGCAAAAAUGUCCAUCCAUCAUCUAGGGGCAUCCAGUUCUCCACUUAAACUAAAAUAGACACUGAAGACAAAUUCUCCAGCAGCAGCGUGCCAAAUAAUGCUUUCUUCAACAGAACCCAUUCCAGUUAGAAUCAUCUCUGUUUACUAUAGAGAUAAACUUUGUUCUUCUGAUCUCUGGAAGUUAUAAAAAUAAUUAUACAAGUCCUCUGGGAAUAAAGGAGUUUAUUAG
Meriones unguiculatus (Mongolian gerbil) is the source of this 471-nucleotide long non-coding RNA. RefSeq lists it as uncharacterized. NCBI's taxonomy places the organism in Eukaryota, Metazoa, Chordata, Mammalia, Rodentia, Muridae. The transcript is spliced from 4 exons. The record is from RefSeq and is a predicted model, not a curated record.